AGCUUCCAAAAGUAUCCGGAUAACCAAUAAAAAAAUGUGUGCAAUGCGAAUGAAUGAUCAUGAUAGAGCAAUGGCCACUUCAUGCGGCUCUCUUCAACCAUUGUCUCUAAAUAAUCUCCAAGUUUUUUAAUUCUCCAAGUACUUGUCAUUAAAUCGAAUAAUUAUGUAUCGUCUCAUAAAAGCCCAGAGAGUAUCUAUCAAAAAUGCUUACACUGGUCCUCUGCAUAUUUACACGGAGCCGGGUGAGAAACUGUGCUCAUUUUGUCAUGUGCAUCACUGCAAAGUCCCAAGGAAUCCGAAGUUUUCCCAAGUUCGACACCAGACAACAACAAUCAAUACAGCAAUAUUACCAAUGGUAAAAAAACUAAAGCGCAAGCCGAAGAGAUAUGCCGAGCUAUUAGAAGUCACCGACAGCCUUACAAGCAAUCGUCGAGCAGCCGUCCGAACAUUAAACGCGUCCCAUUUGUCUCAAUUGAUAAGACAGCCGGACAUAACGCUAGACAAACUCCACAGAAUGAAACGCACAAAUUUACUGAACAUUUCAAACGCAAAAAUAACAACGGACAGCAAUAACGAGGCUACUCAGAAGCUGCUGGACCUACAGGGAUCCUCUCUAAUCGAGGAUUCUCUGCGGAUGCACGCCGACACUCACAAGCUAGGAAUGACAGUGCUGGACGAUCUGGAAACUUCCGAAAUCUCCGGGACGUCAGACACAGCUUCGAUAAUAAAAAGUCGAUCCUUGCUGAAUUCAAUUCCAGAGGAUCAGGCUCAGCAAGCGUUGGAAGAGGAGCCAGACCCCCCGAAGCUCAUCCAAUCCUCUAAAAAAUCCAUGAAGAAAAAAAAGCCAGAUGUUGCUGAAAUUGUUAGGCUAAAGGAAGUUCAUGACCAGGCGAAGAGGGAGAGUCUCGUGAGGACUCUUAACGCUUACCUGAGGGUUUGCGUGAGCACUGGAAUGAUAGGGAGGGCCUAUCACACUAUAAUGCAUUACCGCAAACGUACCAACAAAUUUAAAUGUCCGAAGGUGGCUGACAUUAGCCUCUGUAACAUCCUACUGCAAGCCUAUGCAUCCUCGGGGAAUCUUAAAAAGAUCCAGGAGUUCCUCAAAAUAAUUAAAGUGGACCAGCUGAAGCCAACCGCCAAGACAUAUGCUGCUAUCUUCGAGAGCGUGGGGAGGCUUGAUCAGACAAAAGAGGCAUUGAGAAUUUUGAUAGACACCCAUGAGCAAAUGAAAGAGGAUAAUAUCAGCUUUGAUGACGUCAUGCAACACUCACAGCUAAGGAAGGAUCAGUACUUUAAUGUGCUAAAGGGAAUUCAAAUAUUGAACCCGGUGUUUCAACCUAAAGCUGAGGUGGAAGAUGAGUCUUACGAUUGUCAGCUAUUGAACAGGAUCAGGCCAGAUGGGGGAAAAGGGGAAAGUCCGGCUGAGAAUGUUCUCUCCAGGAAUGAUCUCACAAAGAGAUAUGCACAGCAGAUAAAAAACGAGAUGGACGGUUCCGUAGAGGUAAAAAGUAUCGAAAAAUUUGACAAUUCAAAAUCAAUAGUUCCCUAUUACAAAUCCUUGAUAAUGGAAUUAGAAGAAGAAUGGAAGAGAACAGCAUCAGCAGCCUUUGAUCGCGACCUAAAGGCACUGAAAAGUCGCGAGCAUCAGCCAAUACCGAACGCAAUGGUCCUCUACCCCUGCCUCUGUGUUCUCGAUAAGGAAGAAUACGUGAAAGCCAUCCUCCGAGAAAUCUGGCGCCUAGCAGAUGGUUCCGAAACCUUUAGUCCCUCUUUCUCAUAUCUGUGCAAGAAUCUCGGAAAGUACAUAAACGAUAAAUACGAAAUCCGGGAGAGCAAGGACAACGGCUACCUGGAGGGCAUGAACAAGGUCUAUUCCAAGUAUAGUCAGUGGUACGUAGAAAGAGUAGAUGGUGUUAACAGCAGAACAGCUUGGCAAAGAAUAACAUCAGAAGUGUCAAGAGACUUAAAACUGGAACUGGCGUGCAUUGGAUGGCCUGUAAACCUCCAAAUCGCAGUGGGAAAAUUCCUGUAUCAAAUAAUUCUCAAGGAUAUCAAGCUGGACGUAAGUACGGUGAGACCAUGCAGCAAAACCAAGCACUUCCUCCCGGCUUUCUACACAUUAUUCAGAAACAACAAUCAGAAAUAUCUUGUCGAGGAAAUAAAACCUCAUCCAAUCCUCUCGAAAAUCUACAGGGAGUCCCAACCAGAAACACUGAAAUUUGACACAGCCCUCGUACCCUCGGAGUGCCCUCCAAAACCCUGGUCAUCAGUGAACAAUGGUGGAUAUCUCUUACUGCGAAGUGAUGUCGUUAGAAUUCCCAUGUAUGCCAUGGAACAGUGGAAGCGUUUGGAAGCAAUCCCGAAACGUCAACUGUGGCCGUCAUUAGACUGUCUCAAUCAGCUAGGUUCCAUUCCCUGGACAGUAAACACUACUAUCCUAGAUCUAGCCAUCAAGAUCUUCAGGAAUGGAGGAUCGGAGAGGCUUAAUGUACCACAGCCACCGUCAGUUCUAGCUCCUGCACCUUUACUUACGCCUGACUGUAGUGAAAGCGAGAGAAAGAAUAUUUAUAAGGCCAGGAUGGACAUCAGGAGGAGAAAGGGGGAAAUGUACUCCCUCUGGUGCGAUGCUCUGUACAGGUUAUCGUUAGCCAAUCAUUUCAGGAAGAGAACGUUUUGGCUACCACAUAAUAUGGACUUCAGGGGGAGAGUCUACCCAGUGCCUCCACAUUUAAACCAUCUGGGCUCUGACCUUGCUAGAUCUAUGCUAGUAUUUGCUUUGGGUAAGCCACUGGGUCCAAAUGGUCUUGACUGGCUCAAGAUUCACUGCAUUAACCUCACAGGGUUCAAAAAGAGGGAGCCCAUCAGCGAGAGGAUAAAGUACGCCAAUGAAAUCCUCGAUAAGAUUUUGGACAGCGCUGAGAGGCCCAUGGACGGGGAGAUGUGGUGGACGACAUCCGAUGAGCCCUGGCAGACCCUAGCUGCCUGCAUAGAGAUAUCCAAUGCUUUAAAGUCUCCCAACCCUGAGGAGUACAUUUGCAGGUUCCCAAUUCAUCAGGACGGCAGCUGUAAUGGUCUGCAGCAUUAUGCAGCUCUUGGAAGGGAUAAGCCUGGAGCUGAGAGUGUUAAUCUACAUCCAAGUCGGGCUCCUCAAGAUGUUUACUCCAGUGUUGCUGCGAUGGUGGACGACAUCAGGAAGACAGAUGCCAGUAAUGGGGUUGAAGUGGCACAAGUGCUCGAUGGCUUUGUCACGAGGAAGGUCAUUAAACAGACCGUAAUGACUACUGUCUAUGGGGUGACAAAGUUUGGGGCGAGGUUGCAAAUUGCCAGACAGUUGAAGGAUCUCGAAGGAUUUCCUCAAGAAUUCGUCUGGAGCGCUAGUUUGUAUCUUGCGCAAAAAACUUUUGAGAGCUUGAGAUCUAUGUUUGAUAGUGCUAGACAGAUUCAGGACUGGUUUACUGACUGCGCUAAAGUCAUAUCGACCAUGAAGGGCAAGAAUAUUGAGUGGGUAACCCCACUGGGACUUCCAGUGGUGCAGCCGUACAGUAAGAUCAAUCCGAGUAAGGAUGGUCUCAAGGAAAUUGCUGUGGACGUUUAUGAAAAACCAAACACGACAAAACAAAAAAAUGCCUUUGCACCGAACUUUGUCCACUCCUUGGAUUCCUGUCAUAUGAUGUUGACGAGUUUACAUUGCGAAUACGAAGGGAUAACAUUCGUCUCAGUGCACGAUUGUUACUGGACUCAUCCAUGUACUGUGGAAAUAAUGAAUAAAAUCUGCCGAGAGCAAUUUGUCUCUCUCCAUUCACAGCCGAUCCUCGAAAAUCUGUCCGACUUCUUCGUCAAACAUUACAUCGGGACACAUCAUGAUGAUCUGGAACACAAGAAAGACCUUGAAUUCGACCUUUCAAUGAGAAAAUUGAAGCAUACCCUGACUUCUCUACCGACGAAGGGCUGCUUCGACCUUAAUAGUGUUCUCAAAUCUACUUUCUUCUUCAGUUAAUCAAUAAUGCAUAGUGUCAAUCAAUGAAUUUUGUGAUAAUGGUAAAUGUAAUAAUUUUUAGGUGAAAAUGAACAAGGUUACUUGGAUAUCCAGAAAAACUGUAUUAUAUCAAUAAUGUACAUAUUCUGAACUAUAUCAUUUAAUAAUGUAACACGAUUCAUUGUUAUUAUUAAAGUAAUGUUUUAAAAA
Molecule: RNA transcript, 4186 nt
Organism: Diachasmimorpha longicaudata
Lineage: Eukaryota; Metazoa; Arthropoda; Insecta; Hymenoptera; Braconidae
Gene: mtRNApol
Gene name: RNA polymerase mitochondrial
Exons: 7
Source: RefSeq, a predicted model, not a curated record